AACAAGGUUUGGUUAUACCUACGGGGGCUAGACCUGUGGUGUCAUCAUCCAUACGGUUCUACCGUCUGGUAGUUGUAGCAAUAUUAUUAUCGUUAGUAGCUCACGCCUGACAUAAUAUUUUGAUAAAUCUAAUACAUUUUUAGAUUUAAAUAUGACUUUAAUAACUGAAUAAAUACUUUUCUUCUACAAAAAUAUAGAGAGACACUCUCGUUGAAUAUUGUUUUAGUAACGUAUGGGUAAGAUUUUCUAAACGAAGUGUGGCAACCCCAAUUACUUAAUAAAAAAUAAAUAUGUUAUAAAAUGAAAAUGGCGUCAUUUCACCAAAUAAAACACGAAUUCACGAAUAAUAAAAUAAAUGUUUGCCACGGCCUGUUAAUAUUUAUGAAGACCUCUUCAUGGAUUGGAUUUAAGCAACCUGCUGUGUAAUAUCCUCGCCAUUCUUGAUGUUGAGAAGAUCUAUAAGUCUUUUACGUUUCAUCUGAGUGUUGUGGUUUUUCAUUAUGUUAAAAAUAAGACUUUGUUAGUUCAAGUGUCUCUAUAACUAUGAAGAAGAACAAAAGAAAAUGCUUUGAGUGUGGUUCUUCGCCUGCCGAUGAUCCAGAGAAGACCCUACAGAGAUUACAGAAAUUUGAUUCUACAAAUUUAGUCUCCGUAAUGUCCAGAUAAUCAAUGAUUAGACUAUUGGACUUUUAGAAUAAAUUUUACAUUGAACUAUGAAUGGUUUGUCAUCUACAUUUUUAAAAAAGACGAGAUUUUGCCUGUAAGAACAAGAGAGAGAGAGAAUAAGAAGGUAAGUUAAACACCUACUGUAAAAUGCACACUGCUCCAAUGUGGGUUGAUAGGCUUGGGGUAAUAAAGUUAAAUUAUAAAAGGAUCACUAUCAGGUGUUAAUGAUAAUGACUGGGAUAUAUAGCAUAUCAUAGUCUCUGAGAUAUAAGGAUAUAACACCAGCAACAGCUCUCCAGUGAUGCAGUAGAUAGCAUCAUUGCUCUUUGCAUCUACACGCCACAGCCAGUUGUGGCAAUUGAACUCAUCAUAUUAGUGUGAUGAGCAUGGAUGUAUUUCAGUGUCUAUGUGGUUGUGGGUGUACGCCCAUGUUAAAUAACAAGUAAUGGCCAAAAUAUUAAGUAGAUGUUGAUCAAUAAUCUUCUCUAUCUUCCAGUAAAAGUCCCAUUAAAAUGACCCUGCUGUUCCAGAGAUUAGCUCAAACAAACAGACAGAUGAACAUUUUAAAGAAGUAUGACUGUAUGUCAGUAUUGUAUAUAGGCACUUGAGAAAACACAGUUAUUUUGAAAUCACAGACAUAAACUUAAAUUUUAUUUAUAUGUAUUGGUGCUGUUCAUAAAUAUAGCAUCAGCUGAAACAAACUAGGCAUAGUUAAGUUACAUUUUAUACAGGGUGCUCGGGACUAUUUCUCAUAAAUUCAAGGUGUUGACAAGUCCACUUAUAGGAGCUACCUUAGCUACUAGUUUAUAUUGAGGAGAACUUUCCACCUAGAUGGGUUGUGACUGUAUUAGGGGUCUGGUGAUGAAGACGUAGACGGUUAAGAGAACUCCUCAACGGUUCACAGUAGCUACCAUGUGUUGAUAAAUUAGUAUUGAUGAGAACUUUCCAACUAGAUGGGUUGUGACUGUAUGAGGGGUCUGGUAAUGAAGACGAAGGACGGUUAAGGGAACUUCUCGAUGGUUCACAGUAGUAAUUAGUUUGAUUCUAAGUCAGAGGCAAUCAAAUACAAUGUUUUAUCACGACUCAUAGCAACAUACCUUUGGCGCUAGAUCAAUAUCUAGGAUGAUUUCACUAAAAAUGGAAAAAUAAAAAUUUUUAAUUAAAGAAAUUCAACCAACUUCAAAAACAUAAAACAUACUGGCUAAACUAAAAAGCGAAAAAUAAUAUUAUACUAAGUUCAUAUCAUAUUAUGUUCUAACUGAUGAUCAGUUUGAAGGCUGUGCUAAACCGGUGUUGUUUUAAUUUAAGCUGUUACUGAAAGAACUACAUGAAAGAACACUGUCUGAAAAACCUAAAUAUUUAUGAUAUUCUUACAUGGCUUGAAUUAAUACAUCAUUGGGCUAGCACCACCUUCAAACUGAUCAUCAGUUAGAACAUAAUAUGAUAUAUAGAACUUAGUAUAAUGUUAUUUUUCGUUUUUUAGUUUAGUAAGUAUGUUUUUGAAGUCGGUUGACUUGUUUUUAUUAAAGUUUUUUAAUACACAUGUUCCUUAGACAUUUUAAAUUAAUUUUCCUUAUAGAACUUGGAGCUACCCUAGAGUUAUGGGAAAUACUCCCGAGCACCCUGUAGAUGCUACUUAAUCCUACUAAUCCUUCAUUCAUCAGUAUCGGUUGGUGGGCUUGGAGUUUAUAAAGAAUAUUAAGUAUAUAUAAUUUAUUUAUGAACAUUCCUCAUUCAGUUGAGCUUUUACUACCCAUAACACAAGCUAAGCUUACUUUGAGACUAGUUAGUGAUGUGUGUAAUGUGUUAUUAUAAAUAUUAACCAACUUUCUGCAGUUUGAGAAUACGCGGAUAAAAUAUAGCCUAUGAUACUCAGAAAUAACGUGGCUUUCUAGUGGUAAAGGAAUUUUCAAAAUUGGAUCCAGAGUUUACCUGCUAGAACACCACCAACUUUACCUCUUUAUAAUACAUACUAGCGGAAGCCCGCGACUUCGUCCGCGUAAAAAUCGAUGUCAACUUUCAACCCCUAUUUCACAUUCUAUUUUGCAAGUUUUAUAACUUAUACCUUGUAACUAAAAAAAUUAAGGACUUUCCGUACAAACUUUCUACCCCUACUUCACCCAAUUCUGAUUUUGUUUUCACGACAAAAAGUAUCCUAUUAUCCUUCUACGUAUUAUGGUCUCAAAUCGUCUUAAGUAUCGUUUGAAUUCCUUCUGUAGUAUCAGCGUGAUGCCCGGUCAAAAAAAAGGCAAACAGACAGACAAAAAAUAGAAAAUAUGAGCGUGGUGCGAUGACAAAGGAAAAUAGAGACUUCUAUGCUAAAAUUAUAAUCUUUGGAUCUACUGGACCGAUUUGAAAGAUUGUUUUAUCAAUAGAAAGCUACGUUAUUUGCGAGUGUCAUAGGCUAUGUUUGAUUCCCAUAUUCACACAGGAACGGGAACCACGUAAUGGAAAGCGCGGGGCGUCAUGUAGCGGACUUUCUGCGUCUUUGAGAAAUUUUGUAUUAUCUCCAAAACUAAUUAACAUACUAUAAAGGGCAAAUCUUAUCUCCAUAAUAUCCUUGUGAUUAUUAAAUAAUUUAUUUUGAUAAGGAUUUAAGUUAAGUAGCAUAAAUAAUGACGCAAACCUAAGUAUAUAAAAUUUAUAAUUUUCAAAACACAAAAGGUACUAUAUCUGCUAAUAUAUAGAAGAUAGAUAUAUGGUGUCGCGGACUUUUUUGUAGAACUUUUAAAGAUACAUAAAGCCUCCAUACAUUAAUUUCAAUUUUACACAAUGGUUAAGGCAGCGCAUGCGAAUAAGUCUGCUUAAGAGGAUUUUCGGUCCGACCUGUAUGACAAAAACUGUGUUAACUCGGCGAAUAUAUAUCAUGCUAAUAUAAAAUAUAGCCUAUAGCACUCCCCGAUAAUGUAGCAUUCUACUGGUGAAAGAAUUUUUGAAAUCGGACCAGUAGUUCCGAAAAUUACCCCAUUUAAAAAAUGUGACAAACUUACAAACUUUACCUCUUUAUAAUAUUAGUAUAGAUUAACAACCCAUUUUCGGCUCAUUGUUGAGCACGAGUCACUUCUCAGGACGAGAGGGGUUAGGCCUUAGUCCUCCAUGCUGGCCCAAUGCGGAUUGGCAGACUUCACACACCUAGACAAUUAAGAAAAUUCUCAUUUAUGCAGGUUUCUUCACAAUGUUAUGCUUCACCAUUUAAGACAUUUAAUUUAAAAAUGGGUUGAAUACAUAUCAGUAUAGAUUUUUAUUGUGAGUUUCUUGAAAGAAGGAAAUGCUCAAUAUUUCAUAGACCAACCCAGGACUCAAACUCAGAAUUUCAUGAUAGUUACACUGAACCAAUAAAGUAGUUAGAGAGAGAGAGAGAGAGAGAGAGAGAUAAAUAAAAAGAGUUUAUUAUGUAUUAAAAUUAAAAUAUAUACCUAAUGCUUUCAGCAAUCCUGCUUCUUCACAUGAAUUUUACCCACAUGACGACGGUUUUUAAUAUAAAAAAUAUUUACACAAUGUCUCAAAAAGCAAUCAAAGCUUUCAAAAAUAAACAAUGUUCGCAGAAGUUCAGUACCAACAAACUCACAAAAAAUGAGUUCAAAAUUUAGCAUUACUUGCAAGCCAGACUAAGAAAUUUCAAGAAGAUAAUUUAAAAGAAGACAAUAGAAUAAAAUAAUAUUAACACACAAUGCUUAGCAAAUAUAGCAUUAACAGAUGGAAACCAGGCAAUAGGUGUAGCAAAAUAGAAGAUGAAGGUCUAGCUGUGCCAGUCAGUGCUGAGCCACACAGUUGCUGCUGGCAUGUUUGCAAAAUAGCACAAGGU
This is a long non-coding RNA of Bicyclus anynana (squinting bush brown), 4471 nucleotides long. RefSeq lists it as uncharacterized. The transcript is spliced from 3 exons. The record is from RefSeq and is a predicted model, not a curated record. Lineage: Eukaryota; Metazoa; Arthropoda; Insecta; Lepidoptera; Nymphalidae.